GCAACGCCGCGUGAGUGAAGAAGGUCUUCGGAUCGUAAAACUCUGUUAUUAGGGAAGAACAAAAUGUGUAAUAACUAUGCACGUCUUGUACGGUACCUAAUCAGNAAGCCCACGGCUAACUACGUGCCAGCACCCGCGGUAAUACGUAGNUGCAAGCGUUAUCCGGAAUUAUUGGGCAGUAAAGCGCGCUGUAGCGGUUUUUUAAGUCUGAUGUGAAAGCCCACGGCUCAACCUGGAGGGUCAUUGGAAACUGGAAAACUUGAGUCAGAAGAGGAAAGUGGAAUUCCAUGUGUACGGUGAAAAUGCGCAGAGAUAUGGAGGAACACCAGUGGCGAAGGCGACUUUCUGGUCUGUAACUGACGCUGAUGUGCGAAAGCGUGGGGAUCAAACAGGAUUAGAUACCCUGUUAGUCCACCCCGUAAACGAUGAGUGCUAAGUGUUAGGGUUCCGCCCUUAGUGCUGCAGCUAACGCAU
Molecule: ribosomal RNA, 474 nt
Filed under: Staphylococcus sp. OPB4
Lineage: Bacteria; Bacillati; Bacillota; Bacilli; Caryophanales; Staphylococcaceae
Description: bacterial SSU rRNA
Rfam family: Bacterial small subunit ribosomal RNA
Source: RNAcentral